This 737-nucleotide long non-coding RNA is filed under the name Salvia miltiorrhiza (redroot sage). RNAcentral describes it as "long non-coding RNA (SMIL_LNC012186)". The record is from RNAcentral. Lineage: Eukaryota; Viridiplantae; Streptophyta; Magnoliopsida; Lamiales; Lamiaceae.
ACCAGAAUUAGAAAGAGUGAGAUAGAGAGAACAAGUGAUUAUAUAUAGAAAGAUCUAUAUGUAAAAUAUAGAUCUAAACAAACCGACUGUAUAUCAUUAUAUCUAUGAUAGAUUCUUGAGACAACUCGAUGGAGACAAUGCAUAAACACAUAUAUAUAUCCCACAUAAAAAGGUGUUUCCGCACCAACACAGCAACAAAAAAGAAAAUCAAACAAGCUCGAGCUUAUUUAUACGAAAAAUCACCAAGAAAAUUUGAGAAAAUCCCAAAUGGAAGAGAAUUGAAAUUAAAUGAAAUAAAGCAGUAAUUAAACACAAACCCUAUUAAAAGUGUAUGCUAAUAAUAAUAAAUGAUGUAAAAAGAUGAAUUCGGACCGAAUCGGCUUGAUUCCCUGAGAGAUCGAUCGAAGAAGACUCGCCAACCUUCUAAGAAGAAUCUAGAAGUCUCCUUGAGCUAGCCUCCAUCUUCUUCUGAUUAUCAGUAGGGUUUUCUGUUCAAGAGAGAGAAAGAUGGAGUCUUUUUAUCUCUAGAUAUGGGUGGUGGUGGGGGGGUGGUGGUGGUGGAGCGGUGGUGGAUGCAAUGAUGGUGGUGGUGGAGGUGGUGAUUAAUGGGGAAAGGUGAGAGCAUCAUGAUGAUUGAUGUUGAGAGAGGAUGAAGAAAAUUCCAAGGUUUUUGUAUCAAAUAUUCCUUACAAAUUUAAAGUAGUUUUAUCGCUCUCUGUGUAGUAUAUAUAUCAAUG